UACGGAGGGUGCAAGCAUUAAUCGGAAUUAUUGGGCGUAAAGGGCGCGUAGGCGGGAGGAAAAGUCAGAUGUGAAAUUCCAAAGCUCAACUUUGGAGCUGCAUUUGAAACUUUCCAUCUUGAGGAUAGGCGGAGAAAAUGGAAUUCCACAAGUAGCGGUGAAAUGCGUAGAUAUGUGGAAGAACACCGGUGGCGAAAGCGGUUUUCUAGCUUAGACCUGACGCUGAGGCGCGAGAGCAAGGGGAG
RNAcentral lists this ribosomal RNA (245 nucleotides) under uncultured bacterium. Its description in RNAcentral is "partial 16S ribosomal RNA". It matches the Rfam family "Bacterial small subunit ribosomal RNA", at positions 524 to 768 of the family's 1533-position model. The record is from RNAcentral.